GUUGAAAUGGAAAGAGACAUGUUUUUGUAAUUCGCUUUUCUUGCUUCUUCAUUUAAACAACUGAGGAGUGACAUACGUGGUCCAAACCAAAGUAAAAAUGUCAAUGGAAAGUGAUGAGGAUGAUAUUAUUGAUGAGUUAAUGAAUAGAUUGGAAGCUGAAGAUACAAUUCGAAUAAUUCGGAAAAGUGGUCCAAGAAAUCAAGAGGAUACCGUCA
Molecule: long non-coding RNA, 215 nt
Organism: Nilaparvata lugens (brown planthopper)
Lineage: Eukaryota; Metazoa; Arthropoda; Insecta; Hemiptera; Delphacidae
Exons: 3
Source: RefSeq, a predicted model, not a curated record